This is a long non-coding RNA of Haliotis rubra (blacklip abalone), 254 nucleotides long. RefSeq lists it as uncharacterized. Lineage: Eukaryota; Metazoa; Mollusca; Gastropoda; Lepetellida; Haliotidae. The record is from RefSeq and is a predicted model, not a curated record. The transcript is spliced from 3 exons.
ACAACACCUACAGCGGCCCCAGCUGUGAAGAUCCUCUAGCCAAGCCUGGACACCAGCAGACUUGAUCCACGCUAGCGGUCAAAAUCGACCAACGAGUAGACGGACAUUGUCUACUCAGUGUAAAUAGACAGUGGUAAGACUGGAACUCGUUAUUAACCAGUAGUGACGCCAUGUGAAGACAAAACGCAAGUACAAGCAGAAGACUAGUCGACACAAGUAGAAGACUAGACGACACAAGUUGAGGACUAGAACAC